Cyprinus carpio carpio is the source of this 3868-nucleotide long non-coding RNA. Lineage: Eukaryota; Metazoa; Chordata; Actinopteri; Cypriniformes; Cyprinidae. The record is from Ensembl.
CACCCCGACAUUUCUGAGUGGUUUCCCCCACUACUCUGAGUUGAUUCCGUGUAUGACCCUGGACUGUUUGACUUCUCUGAUUCUCUGCUGCCUUCCCUUGUGAUCUCGGCUUCUGGAACACUGAUUGUUUGCUUGUUGCCCUGACUCCUGCCUGGUAUCGUUUCUGCCUCUAGCUUGCCUCUGACAUUCCUACUGUUGUUGUUUGACCAUUGCCUGUUGUUGACCUUGCUUUAUAAUAAAGUGCUGCAAAUGGAUCCACAAACAUGCUUCUGACCGAUUAUUACAGAAGACUUUGCCACCCCCAGAUCCAGUGGUGGUCUAUCAACUAUCCUCUGAGGUCUCAGCCCAAGCUAAUGUGUUAGCAUCUCACCAGCAGCAACUGCAACGCCUUACGUCUCUCAUGGAGGAACUGGUGGGAAUGUUGCAAUCCAUGCAACUGGUCAUGCCGUCACCAAGCCCACCAACGCCUGAGCCUCCACCAACUAAUGGAUCAGCUAGUACGCACACUGCUAACCCUUGACUCUCCUUACCGGCGAGGUUUGACGGAACUCCAGAUAAGUGUAAAGGCUUCCUCUUACAAUGUUCCCUGUUUAUGAAUCAACAACCAUUGUUAUAUCCCACAGACAACAGUCGUGUGGCUUUCAUCUGUUCCUUGCUGACAGGAAGGGUGUUGGAAUGGGCUACGGCUGUUUGGGAGGACAGAAGCCUGUCAUUUCCUUCCUUCAAAGAAUUCCUUCAUCAGUUUUGAGAGGUAUUCAAGCAUUCAGCCUGUGGCAAAGAGGCUAGUGAACAGUUGCUCGUACUGUCAGGGCAGAGAUACCGCAGUGGAUUACUCUCACCUUCUGCAUACUCUCAGCCCAAACUCGCAGUUGGGAUACUGGUCCCCUGAAGCUGCUUUACCGCAAGGGCUUAUCCGCUGAAUUACAGUCAGAACUUACCUGCCGCGAAAAGGGAAAGACACUGGAACAGUUCAUUAAUCUCUCAAUCCCCCUCGACAACCUACUACACGCAUGACGCUCCUCAUGACAGUCACAUGCUCUAUCACCCAUCUCCGCAGCCAUGCCAGACCCUGAACCCAUGCACAUUGGAGUCACUCGUCUUUCGUCGGCGGAAAGAAAGCACAGGAUAAGGAACCAUCUAUGCCUUUACCGAGGGUUGCCAGGUCAUCUAAGAGCCAAUUGCCCUACUAGACCGGCCUCCAAAGAUACCACUACGGUGAGUUCUAACCCAUAUACUCUUGAAGUACCGGUCUCCUUGACCAUUACUGAUGUUAUGGUUGAGGCGAGCGCUUUAAUAGACUGUGGUGGCGGGAAAUUAUAUUGAUGUCAGUUUCGCCAACACUCAUAACCUUCCUCUUCCGUGUGAAUCCCAACUGGUAGUGGCAGCGCUAGAUGGACACCCUCUGGGCACAGGACUGAUCAAAUUCAGAACCCAAGAACUCACACUAAAGUCUGGCUCCCUACAAACGGCAGUUCCAACCCCAUGUCAUAAACUUUGUUCCUUCCUCACAUUCGGAAGACUCUACUGUAUCAGAUCUCCCUGUCGAAUACCAAGAUCUCACAGAGGCAUUCAGCAAGUCAAAGGCUUCUCAACUCCCACCACAUCGAUCCAGUGAUUGCGCUAUCGACCUGCUUCCUGGAGCGAUGCCUACGAAAUGUAGAGUGUUUCCCCUAUCACAACCAGAGUCUGAGGCAAUGAAGGCAUACAUAGAGGAAUUGGCUAAGGGCUUCAUUAGACCAUCCACCUCUCCAGCGUCAGCAGGGUUUUUCUUUGUGAAAAAGAAUGGAGGCCUUGCAUUGAUUACCGAAGUCUGAAUGAUGUCACAGUCAAGUUUUGAUAUCCACUGCCACUGGUUCCAUCUGCCCUGGAGCAACUGCGCUCUGCCAAGUAUUUUACCAAGCUCGAUCUCCGCAGUGCCUACAAUCUGAUCCUGGAGACAAUGCCUAGACAACGCCUAGACUGGUCACCAUCAGCUCAGAACGCUUUCCAACAGCUCAAGGAUUGCUUGGAAUGGAGGCAUUGGCUAGAGGGCGCUAAAGUUCCUUUCCUGGUACUCACUGAUCACCGCAACCUGGAGUAUAUUCGCUCGGCCAAACGACUUAACCCAAGGCAAGCCCGAUGGUCACUAUUCUUUUCACACUUUGACUUUAAAGUCACCUACUCUGAGAAGCACCGAAACCGUUAUCACGUCAACUCUGAUUAUAGCACCAGUUCAAGGACAUUAUCACUGAGAUCACUGAAGCUCAGGUCAACAAUCCACCACCGCCGAACUGUCCCAACGACCGAACUUGCGUGUCAGCUGAUCUUCGACAACGGGUGUUGCAUCUGGUACAUGAUUCUCCCAGCUCAGGACACCCCGAGAUCACAACUUCAGUCCAGCUGUUGUCUGAGCGUUUCUGGUGGUCAUCCCUACUGCUGGAUACUAUCAAAUUUGUUCAACAAUGUAACAUGCCCAAUUCCUCUCACCAACAUCCUGCAGGUUUUUCAACCCCUUCCCGUUCCUCAACGCCCAUGGUCUCAUAUCGCAAUUGACUUUGUUACUGAUCUCCCCAACUCCAGAAUUCUUAGUCAUCGACCGAUUCUCCAAAGCCUGUCAACUCAUACCCUUACCCAAACUGCCUACUGCUUUUGAAACCGCCAAAGUCCUGUUGGAACAGGUCUUCUGCUUCUAUGGCCUUCCCGAAGAUAUAGUUUCCAACAGAGGGCCCCCAAUUCGCCUAGAGUCUGUAGAGCUUUCUGCCAGCAACUCAACCUCAGUCUUUCCUCUGGCUACCAUCAACAGUCCCAUGGCCAAGUUGAGAGGCUCUACCAAGAAGUUACCCGGUUCUUAUGCUCAUACUGCCACCAGAAUCAGAAUGACUGGAGUCUGUUCCUGUUACGGGCAGCGUAUGCGCAAAACUCGCUCCGCAAACCAUCUACCGGCCUCACUCCUUUCUAGCAUGUCUGCUGUCAACAAAUGGCUAAGGAGAAGCGAGAACACCUGGAAUGCAGCUCAUGUCCACCUACAAAGAGCAGUGUACUAAACCAGGGAACAAGCCGAUCGUCGGAGAAGGGAGGGGCCUGAAUAUACUUCUGGACAAUAGGUCUGCCAAUCCACCAGGGAUCUGUGACUUUGACUACCCAGCGAAAAAGAAGUCCCAGCCUGCCGGAGAGGAGAGGGAUCAGGACGAGGUCGCAGACAAGAGUACUCCUACCCUAACCGUGGACUGUGAGGAGGCAUACCAGGUCAGAGAGAUUUCUGGAUUCCUGACGCAGAGGACAAGUGCUGCAGUCAACCAGAUACUGGGAAGGAUAUGGCCCAGAGGAAAGGUCCUGGGUGAACGCCCAUGAUAUCCGGGAUCCCACACUCACCCUUGAGUUUCAUCAAGCUCAUCCAACUUGACCCGCCCCUCGUCCCCAUGGAAGCCCACAGCAUUGGUCUGCCCCUCGCAUCCGGAGCCGCUCGCAGGGGUGGGGCUCUGUCAUGAAUCAGACCUCUGUGGCUCUCUCCGAUUGCCACCAGAGGGCACCCUCACCUGAGUAUUAACCUUCAUCCUGGACUCCAUUUCCCAUAACCCUGUACUGGACUGAUUACCUGCACAGGUGUUGCUCAUCACUGGCCUAUUUAACCAGCACUCACACUCACUGCGAAGUCUUGUUUUGCUGACAUUUCUGAGUGUUUCCCCCCCCCACCAUUCUGAGUUGAUUCCGUGUUUGACGCUAGACUGUAUGAUUUCUGAUUCUCUGCUGUCUACCCUUGUGAUCUCGCCUUCUGGAACAUUGAUUGCUUGCUUGUUGCCCUGACUCCUGCCUGGUAUCGUUUCUGCCUCUGUCUUGCCUCUGACAUUCCUGCCGUUGUUGUUUGACCAUUGCCUGUUGUUCACCUUGC